Molecule: small nucleolar RNA, 133 nt
Filed under: Castor canadensis (American beaver)
Lineage: Eukaryota; Metazoa; Chordata; Mammalia; Rodentia; Castoridae
Description: Small nucleolar RNA SNORA31 (ENSCCNG00000005669.1)
Rfam family: Small nucleolar RNA SNORA31
About the family: ACA31 (SNORA31) belongs to the H/ACA class of snoRNAs which are thought to guide the sites of modification of uridines to pseudouridines. ACA31 is predicted to guide the pseudouridylation of U3713 in 28S rRNA and U218 in 18S rRNA.
Source: Rfam by way of RNAcentral
ACGCAUCGAUUGACAGACCUGGAGCAGUUACUGUCUGCUGCCAAGGUUUCCACUGCAGAUGCAAGCCAAAAGUGUCCUUGCGCUUUCUGUCUGUCUGAUUGUGAAAGUCAAGAUUGAGUAGAGGAAUACAGGG